GCCCUCUCAGACCCCUCCCCCGCUCUUCCCGACUCCACCCCUCUUUCUGCUGCCCACUGGAGAUGCUGCCAGGAAAACAGAGGUUCUGGAGAAUACGUUCAUUCAGCUACAGGGAGAGGAGGAGGCUGAGAAGCCAGAACAGCCAGCUCAUCCUGAAAGUAGAGGCCCAUGAGGUCCCUUUCUGACCCAAAAGAUUCCCACCCCGAGCCUGGCUCCAAUCAGCUAAUUUUUCAGACCUUUGAUCCAUUGAUCCUUUGGGCAGUCUGGGCUUGCUUGGUUCAGUGAGAGGCAGCAGAGGACGAGAGAAAUUGCGCAGGGCUGAGAGCUGUGAAGUCACUGGGUGAGCGGUGUGACCACACCAGGCCAAGGAAGAAGCACGUGCCCAGCCUGCCAUCUGCCCUCCUGUCCUGGAGCCAGCUCUUUCCACCAGCUUCCUUCGUCUUUUAACACUUGGUGAAAAGGAAUGACACGUCAGUCACAGCCACUGGCCAGUGCUCACGGAGCAUCUGGCAGGAGGAAGCGCCUUCCUGGCUGGCCUCCCAUUCAUCAGUCAGAGCCGCAGGCUGGGCCAGGAAGCUGCAUUUGUUGGCCAGGAUUUGAGAUUUCUUUCACUGAGGCCUCCGGAGAGUCAUUCCAAAGGUGAACAUGGAGCACAAACUCAAGAAGUGAAACCACAUGUACUGCCUCAAAAGCAACAAGGCAGGAGGGUGUCGAAAACCCCGGGGGGGAGAUACAAAGGCUCAAAGUUCUGCAACCCGCACCCCUUGGAAAGAGGGUUGGUCAGCUCCUCUCCCAACCCAAACUCCCAGUUUGAAUUUUUAAAACAUCAGCCUUCUAAGCAAGCAUCUGCCACUGUCCGGCUUCUGAAUGAAAGGUGAAGAUCAGAGAAAGGAAUCUUUGUGUUUUCAUCAGGUAUUUUAGCAAAUGCAAUGAGGACAUUCAGAUUUGAUUUCCCUGUUUUGUACACACACAUAAGUCGGUGCUAAGAGGAUUAGUUUUCCUGCAGCCACGUCCUUCCUAAAGGCCCCGGUCAAAAGAGACCCUUGUUCAACAGCGUUCUCUCUGAUUCCUCUGGCUUUUCUUCCUUACCUCAAUGUGCACACAUCUAGCUUGCUCCUAAAUCCACCCACCUCGCAGACUUUGGGAUAACGAAGAUCCCAGCCCUCCAUUCUCCUCCCGCCCCGGUUCCUUAAUAAAGCUGGAGAUGAACAUUAGCGCUUGGUUCAGCAGCAUCCGAAAAGGAAAGGGUGGCCUCCUCGAGCCCUCGACGCCCCAUAGAAAAAUGUAGCCU
This 1291-nucleotide long non-coding RNA is filed under the name Macaca mulatta (Rhesus monkey). RNAcentral's name for it is "lncRNA (ENSMMUG00000058887.1)". The record is from RNAcentral. Lineage: Eukaryota; Metazoa; Chordata; Mammalia; Primates; Cercopithecidae.